Molecule: ribosomal RNA, 301 nt
Filed under: uncultured bacterium
Lineage: Bacteria
Description: partial 16S ribosomal RNA
Rfam family: Bacterial small subunit ribosomal RNA
Source: RNAcentral
CAGUCGCCGCGGUAAUACGUAGGUCCCGAGCGUUGUCCGGAUUUAUUGGGCGUAAAGCGAGCGCAGGCGGUUAGAUAAGUCUGAAGUUAAAGGCUGUGGCUUAACCAUAGUACGCUUUGGAAACUGUUUAACUUGAGUGCAAGAGGGGAGAGUGGAAUUCCAUGUGUAGCGGUGAAAUGCGUAGAUAUAUGGAGGAACACCGGUGGCGAAAGCGGCUCUCUGGCUUGUAACUGACGCUGAGGCUCGAAAGCGUGGGGAGCAAACAGGAUUAGAGACCCCCGUAGUCCCUGUCUCUUAUACC